RNAcentral lists this ribosomal RNA (492 nucleotides) under uncultured bacterium. RNAcentral describes it as "partial 16S ribosomal RNA". It matches the Rfam family "Bacterial small subunit ribosomal RNA", at positions 29 to 507 of the family's 1533-position model. The record is from RNAcentral.
AGUGAACGCUGGCGGUAGGCCUAACACAUGCAAGUCGAACGGCAGCACAGUAAGAGCUUGCUCUUACGGGUGGCGAGUGGCGGACGGGUGAGGAAUACAUCGGAAUCUACUUUUUCGUGGGGGAUAACGUAGGGAAACUUACGCUAAUACCGCAUACGACCUACGGGUGAAAGCAGGGGAUCUUCGGACCUUGCGCGAUUGAAUGAGCCGAUAUCGGAUUAGCUAGUUGGCGGGGUAAAGGCCCACCAAGGCGACGAUCCGUAGCUGGUCUGAGAGGAUGGUCAGCCACACUGGAACUGAGACACGGUCCAGACUCCUACGGGAGGCAGCAGUGGGGAAUAUUGGACAAUGGGCGCAAGCCUGAUCCAGCCAUACCGCGUGGGUGAAGAAGGCCUUCGGGUUGUAAAGCCCUUUUGUUGGGAAAGAAAAGCAGCAGGUUAAUACCCCGCUGUUCUGACGGUACCCAAAGAAUAAGCACCGGCUAACUUCGUG